Molecule: ribosomal RNA, 1499 nt
Filed under: uncultured prokaryote
Description: partial 16S ribosomal RNA
Rfam family: Bacterial small subunit ribosomal RNA
Source: RNAcentral
GAGUUUGAUCCUGGCUCAGGAUGAACGCUAGCGGCAGGCUUAACACAUGCAAGUCGAGGGGUAACAGAGUAGCUUGCUACUGCUGACGACCGGCGCACGGGUGCGUAACGCGUAUACAAUCUACCUUAUACUGGGGGAUAGCCUUUAGAAAUGAAGAUUAAUACCCCAUAGUUUAUAGAUAUGGCAUCAUAUUUAUAAUAAAGAUUACGGUGUAAGAUGAGUAUGCGUUCUAUUAGUUAGUUGGUGUGGUAACGGCACACCAAGACCACGAUAGAUAGGGGCCCUGAGAGGGGGAUCCCCCACACUGGUACUGAGACACGGACCAGACUCCUACGGGAGGCAGCAGUGAGGAAUAUUGGACAAUGGAGGCAACCCUGAUCCAGCCAUGCCGCGUGUGUGAAGAAGGCCUUAGGGUUGUAAAGCACUUUCAGUAGGGAGGAAAAGUUAAGUGUUAAUAGCGCUAGGCUGUGACGUUACCUACAGAAGAAGGACCGGCUAACUCCGUGCCAGCAGCCGCGGUAAUACGGAGGGUGCGAGCGUUAAUCGGAAUUACUGGGCGUAAAGCGCGCGUAGGCGGCCUGAUAAGUUGGAUGCAGAAGCCCAGGGCUCAACCUUGGAACUGCAUUCAAAACUGCCAGGCUAGAGUACGGUAGAGGGGGGUAGAAUUCCAUGUGUAGCGGUGAAAUGCGUAGAGAUGUGGAGGAAUACCAGUGGCGAAGGCGGCCCCCUGGAUCGAUACUGACGCUGAGGUGCGAAAGCGUGGGGAGCAAACAGGAUUAGAUACCCUGGUAGUCCACGCCGUAAACGAUGUCAACUAGCCGUUGGAGGGGUAAUCCCUUUAGUGGCGCAGCUAACGCACUAAGUUGACCGCCUGGGGAGUACGGUCGCAAGAUUAAAACUCAAAUGAAUUGACGGGGGCCCGCACAAGCGGUGGAGCAUGUGGUUUAAUUCGACGCAACGCGAAGAACCUUACCUGGUCUUGACAUCCUACGAACUUACUAGAAAUAGUUUGGUGCCUUCGGGAACGUAGUGACAGGUGCUGCAUGGCUGUCGUCAGCUCGUGUCGUGAGAUGUUGGGUUAAGUCCCGUAACGAGCGCAACCCUUGUCAUUAGUUGCUACAUUUAGUUGAGCACUCUAAUGAGACUGCCGGUGACAAACCGGAGGAAGGUGGGGAUGACGUCAAGUCCUCAUGGCCCUUAUGGGUAGGGCUUCACACGUCAUACAAUGGUCGGUACAGAGGGUUGCCAAGCCGCGAGGUGGAGCCAAUCCCAGAAAACCGAUCGUAGUCCGGAUCGUAGUCUGCAACUCGACUACGUGAAGUCGGAAUCGCUAGUAAUCGCGGAUCAGAAUGUCGCGGUGAAUACGUUCCCGGGUCUUGUACACACCGCCCGUCACACCAUGGGAAUUGGGUCUACCCGAAGGUGGUGCGCCAACUAUUUAUAGGGGCAGCCAACCACGGUAGGUUCAGUGACUGGGGUGAAGUCGUAACAAGGUAACC